This 464-nucleotide ribosomal RNA is filed under the name Vreelandella stevensii. RNAcentral describes it as "partial 16S ribosomal RNA". It matches the Rfam family "Bacterial small subunit ribosomal RNA", at positions 338 to 795 of the family's 1533-position model. The record is from RNAcentral. Lineage: Bacteria; Pseudomonadati; Pseudomonadota; Gammaproteobacteria; Oceanospirillales; Halomonadaceae.
CCUACGGGUGCAGCAGUGGGGAAUAUUGGACAAUGGGCGAAAGCCUGAUCCAGCCAUGCCGCGUGUGUGAAGAAGGCCUUCGGGUUGUAAAGCACUUUCAGUGGGGAAGAAAGCCUUGGGGCUAAUACCCUCGAGGAAGGACAUCACCCACAGAAGAAGCACCGGCUAACUCCGUGCCAGCAGCCGCGGUAAUACGGAGGGUGUGAGCGUUAAUCGGAAUUACUGGGCGUAAAGCGCGCGUAGGCGGUCUGAUAAGCCGGUUGUGAAAGCCCCGGGCUCAACCUGGGAACGGCAUCCGGAACUGUCAGGCUAGAGUGCAGGAGAGGAAGGUAGAAUUCCCGGUGUAGCGGUGAAAUGCGUAGAGAUCGGGAGGAAUACCAGUGGCGAAGGCGGCCUUCUGGACUGACACUGACGCUGAGGUGCGAAAGCGUGGGUAGCAAACAGGAUUAGAUACCCGAGUAGUC